GGGGGGGAGGGGGCGGGGUCAGGGGAGGAGGCGGAGUCUGUUAAAUAAGCGGGGGCGGGGCCAGGCGGCUGUCAAUCAAAUGGAGCUGUCAAUCAAACGGGGCUGUCAAUCAAGUGGAGCUGUCAAUCAAACGGGGCUGUCAAUCAAAUUGAGCUGUCAAUCACCGGCUGCUGUCAAUCAGGGGCUGUUAUUUGAUGAGCUGUCAAUCAAAUGGGGCUGUCAAUCAAACGGAGCUGUCAAUCACGCGCUGCCUGGAGUGUCAAUCAAGUGGAGGUGUCAAUCAAAUGGAGCUGUCAAUCAAACGGGGCUGUCAAUCAAACCUAUCCUUCAAAUUGACCUGUCAAUCAAAGGGAUAUCGAUCAAUUUGAGCUGUCAAUCAAAGAGCUAUCAAUCAAUUGGAGCUGUCAAUCAAUUCUAUCCAUCACAUAGAGCUGUCAAUCAAACACAAGGGAUCAAAUCGAGCUGUCAAUCAAAGACACUCACCGGCCCCUCCUCACCGGGGGGGGUCUCUUGCUGUGGGGGGGGGCUCCUCGUCCGCCGCCCCCCCC
RNAcentral lists this long non-coding RNA (548 nucleotides) under Anas zonorhyncha (Eastern spot-billed duck). Its description in RNAcentral is "lncRNA (ENSAZOG00000008563.1)". Lineage: Eukaryota; Metazoa; Chordata; Aves; Anseriformes; Anatidae. The record is from RNAcentral.